UCGGUUACAUUAUUGAAACAGAGUGAAAGCGAUGAAGAGAUUUCUAAUUUUAGAAUGUAAAGUCAAAUGUCCAUAAAAGUUAUAUUUUUACAAGAAUAUUAAAGAGAUUUUUUGCUAAAUGUUUAACAAAAAAUGAAAUUACUCUUCAGUAUUGAAAUCAGAGAAGAAAAAACUUACAUAUAGCAAGGUACAGUACUUUCCAUUGUCACUAGCAUGUGAACGUCGCUCAUCAGAGGAAUAUCAGUGUGCGAUUCAGUUUCAAGAUGUCAGAAGUUUCUACCAUAAGAUAUAUUCAACACCUGAUAGUUUCGAACAAAAGUCUUUAUACUUCACUACAUCACAGUAGAAACUACUAAGCGUAAUCCCACGAGUACAGGAUAAUUCCACUCAAAAGAAGGUACAGUACUUUCCAUUGUCACUAGCAUGUGAACGUCGCUCAUCAGAGGAAUAUCAGUGUGCGAUUCAGUUUCAAGAUGUCAGAUGUUUCUACCAUAAGAUAUAUUCAACACCUGAUAGUUUCGAACAAAAGUCUUUAUACUUCACUACAUCACAGUAGAAACUACUAAGCGUAAUCCCACGAGUACAGGAUAAUUCCACUCAAAAGAAGGUAGUGACUACUAAAUAUUGCGUGCCAAAACAUUAACAUGCCCUGAUUGCUCAGAUAUCACUAUUAAUGUUUCUGUUUUUAAGAAUAUAUUCAUAAAAACACUUAGCAUAUCAACAGAUAGGAUUCAACUUCUAGCUGGAUAUGCUUCUCCAGAAGUUAGAGAAGGUAACAAGAAAGCUGAAUGAUAAAUUGUAAAAAGAACAAGUUUAUAAUGUUUCAUUGAAUCUCUACCAUUAAUACUAUUGUACUACUUAUUCAUACUACUGUAUUGUGGGAGAAGCCAAGUCAGUGGGCAGCACCUUUUUAGUGAACUUAGCAUUAAGGUACUGUGAGAGAAGUAUGAAGAAACAUGUGACCUCAUAAUAAUGUAAUAUUGGAGUCUGUUUUUGACACAGAUUACAACAUUGGAUUCGGAUCUCUAUCUGCAGACUUCUGCUCCACAUAUCUUUCUCUAAAGUAGGUUAUAAAAAUUACUAGAGAACCAAAUGAAAAUUUGAUGAAAAAACGGGUGACAUAGUACAAAACGCCACACAAGUUCAACUGUAAUUUUUUAUUGUAACUACUUUUUAACAUCAUUAAUUCAUUGUUAGUUAAAUGUUUUUUGUGUAAAAUAUUUAAAAGGUUUGUAAAAUAAAG
This is a long non-coding RNA of Homalodisca vitripennis (glassy-winged sharpshooter), 1243 nucleotides long. RefSeq lists it as uncharacterized. The record is from RefSeq and is a predicted model, not a curated record. NCBI's taxonomy places the organism in Eukaryota, Metazoa, Arthropoda, Insecta, Hemiptera, Cicadellidae. The transcript has 3 exons.